This 406-nucleotide ribosomal RNA is filed under the name uncultured bacterium. RNAcentral's name for it is "partial 16S ribosomal RNA". It matches the Rfam family "Bacterial small subunit ribosomal RNA", at positions 30 to 526 of the family's 1533-position model. The record is from RNAcentral.
AUUGAACGCUGGCGGCAGGCCUAACACAUGCAAGUCGAACGAGUGGCGGACGGGUGAGUAAUGUCUGGGAAACUGCCCUAUGGAGGGGGAUAACUACUGGAAACGGUAGCUAAUACCGCAUCCCAUCGUAUGUGCCCAUAUGGGAUUAGCUAGUGGGUGGGGUAACGGCUCACCUAGGCGACGAUCUCUAGCUGGUCUGAGAGGAUGACCAGCCACACUGGGACUGAGACACGGUCCAGAAUCCUACGGGAGGCAGCAGUGGGGAAGAUUGCGCAAUGGGCGCAAGCCUGAAGCAGCCAUGCCGCGUGAAUGAAGAAGGCCUUCGGGUUGUAAAGUACUUUCAGUGGGGAGGCGUUACCCGCAGAAGAAGCACCGGCUAACUCCGUGCCAGCAGCCGCGGUAAUAC